CGAGAAACACAAAUUGGUCAUGGGAAGAAUUUUAUCAAAUUAAAAUCAUUCAUUCAUUUUGGAAGAUGAAAUGUAUAUUUUAUCAAUCCCCUAAAUCAAAUGAUUUUAAUCCAACAAAUAGUCAAACAUCACAAGACCAUCAAAAUGAUUCAACAUAAUUUUUAAACAAUUAAUCAAUUAAAACUCAAAUUAAAAAUGCAUUUUAAUUCAAAUUAAUAUGGUCAAAACCUAAAAUCUCUUCAAAAC
Molecule: long non-coding RNA, 246 nt
Filed under: Lathyrus oleraceus (garden pea)
Lineage: Eukaryota; Viridiplantae; Streptophyta; Magnoliopsida; Fabales; Fabaceae
Description: Pisum sativum (pea) long non-coding RNA (PSAT_LNC010801)
Source: RNAcentral